CCUACGGGGGGCAGCAGUGAGGAAUAUUGGUCAAUGGACGAGAGUCUGAACCAGCCAAGUAGCGUGAAGGAUGACUGCCCUAUGGGUUGUAAACUUCUUUUAUAUGGGAAUAAAAUGUUCCACGUGUGGGAUUUUGUAUGUACCAUAUGAAUAAGGAUCGGCUAACUCCGUGCCAGCAGCCGCGGUAAUACGGAGGAUCCGAGCGUGAUCCGGAUUUAUUGGGUUUAAAGGGAGCGUAGGUGGAUUGUUAAGUCAGUUGUGAAAGUGUGCGGCUCAACCGUAAAAUUGCAGUUGAAACUGGCAGUCUUGAGUACAGUAGGGGUGGGCGGAAUUCGUGGUGUAGCGGUGAAAUGCUUAGAUAGCACGAAGAACUCCGAUUGCGAAGGCAGUUCACUGGACUGCAACUGACACUGAGGCUCGAAAGUGUGGGUAUCAAACAGGAUUAGAUACCCUAGUAGUC
Molecule: ribosomal RNA, 460 nt
Filed under: uncultured bacterium
Lineage: Bacteria
Description: partial 16S ribosomal RNA
Rfam family: Bacterial small subunit ribosomal RNA
Source: RNAcentral